UACGUAGGGUGCAAGCGUUGUCCGGAAUUAUUGGGCGUAAAGAGCUCGUAGGCGGUUUGUCGCGUCGACUGUGAAAACCCGAGGCUUAACCUCGGGCCUGCAGUCGAUACGGGCAGACUAGAGUUCGGUAGGGGAGACUGGAAUUCCUGGUGUAGCGGUGAAAUGCGCAGAUAUCAGGAGGAACACCGGUGGCGAAGGCGGGUCUCUGGGCCGAUACUGACGCUGAGGAGCGAAAGCGUGGGGAGCAAACAGG
RNAcentral lists this ribosomal RNA (253 nucleotides) under uncultured bacterium. Its description in RNAcentral is "partial 16S ribosomal RNA". It matches the Rfam family "Bacterial small subunit ribosomal RNA", at positions 524 to 776 of the family's 1533-position model. The record is from RNAcentral.